RNAcentral lists this ribosomal RNA (441 nucleotides) under uncultured bacterium. Its description in RNAcentral is "partial 16S ribosomal RNA". It matches the Rfam family "Bacterial small subunit ribosomal RNA", at positions 338 to 795 of the family's 1533-position model. The record is from RNAcentral.
CCUACGGGAGACAGCAGUGGGGGAUAUUGCACAAUGGGGGAAACCCUGAUGCAGCGACGCCGCGUGGGUGAAGGAGUGCUUCGGCAUGUAAAGCCCUAUCGGCAGGGAAGAAGCAAGACGGUACCUGACUAAGAAGCCCCGGCUAACUACGUGCCAGCAGCCGCGGUACUACGGAGGGGGCGAGCGUUAUCCGGAUUCACUGGGGGUAAAGGGCGUGUAGAGGGCCAAGCAAGCCAGGGGUGAAAGCCCGGGGCCCAACCCCGGGACUGCCCUUGGAACUGCAUGGCUGGAGUGCGGGAGGGGCAGGCGGAAUGCCUGGUGUAGCGGUGAAAUGCGUAGAUAUCAGGAGGAACACCGGCGGCGAAGGCGGCCUGCUGGACCGCGACUGACGUUGAGGCUCGAAAGCGUGGGGAGCGAACAGGAUUAGAUACCCUAGUAGUC